GCACAAGCGGUGGAGCAUGUGGUUUAAUUCGACGCAACGCGCAGAACCUUACCAGCCCUUGACAUGUCCAGGACCGGUCGCAGAGAUGUGACCCUCUCUUCGGAGCCUGGAGCACAGGUGCUGCAUGGCUGUCGUCAGCUCGUGUCGUGAGAUGUUGGGUUAAGUCCCGCAACGAGCGCAACCCCCGUCCCUAGUUGCUACCAUUUAGUUGAGCACUCUAAGGAGACUGCCGGUGAUAAGCCGCGAGGAAGGUGGGGAUGACGUCAAGUCCUCAUGGCCCUUACGGGCUGGGCUACACACGUGCUACAAUGGCGGUGACAAUGGGAUGCUAAGGGGCAACCCUUCGCAAAUCUCAAAAAGCCGUCUCAGUUCGGAUUGGGCUCUGCAACUCGAGCCCAUGAAGUUGGAAUCGCUAGUAAUCGUGGAUCAGCACGCCACGGUGAAUACGUUCCCGGGC
RNAcentral lists this ribosomal RNA (457 nucleotides) under uncultured bacterium. RNAcentral's name for it is "bacterial SSU rRNA". It matches the Rfam family "Bacterial small subunit ribosomal RNA", at positions 923 to 1379 of the family's 1533-position model. The record is from RNAcentral.